Long non-coding RNA from Phalaenopsis equestris, 468 nucleotides. RefSeq lists it as uncharacterized. The transcript has 2 exons. The record is from RefSeq and is a predicted model, not a curated record. Lineage: Eukaryota; Viridiplantae; Streptophyta; Magnoliopsida; Asparagales; Orchidaceae.
GGAGAACUUGGUGCACCUCAUCCCUAUCGUUAUCAUCAUUUGCGCCACGGUUCUUUGGAUGUUCUCCAACCCUAACAUUGAGAUGAUGAGUAGAGAUGAUUCCAUCCUUGCCAGAAUCAAGAACUUGACCAUUGAUGGUUAUAACAAUUGGAACAACACAGCCGUGACAGUUGGGAUUGAAGAUUUGGAUCCAAUAGAUGGGAUUGCCACAGAGGAUUCUGGAAGAAAUAUAGACAACAAAAAUCAAUAUAAAUAGUUCAUUAGGUUAUUUUACAGGUCCUGUUUCCCAACUGUUCGUGUCUGUGAAAAGAAAUGUGUUCUAAGGAACUUUUUUUAUGAUCGAUACAUCUACCUUUCUUCAAUUUGUAAGGCUCUCGUUGGGCUGUGAUUUUCUAUUUAUUGCAUCUGUUUGUAAAAGAAGAUAAAAAAUUAUUCAUUUUUACUGUAGAUAAUGGAUUAUUUGUUCAA